Molecule: long non-coding RNA, 288 nt
Filed under: Phoenix dactylifera (date palm)
Lineage: Eukaryota; Viridiplantae; Streptophyta; Magnoliopsida; Arecales; Arecaceae
Description: long non-coding RNA (PDAC_LNC002865)
Source: RNAcentral
CUCUCCGACCACUUCUCCUCCAUGGAGCGCGACCUCCAGCUCAGGUCCGAGUCUCUCCGAUCCAAGCGCCAGUCCCUCGACCUCUCCACCCAGAGCUCCCUCGCCUCCCUCCACCGCCGCGAGCUCUCCAUCGACGGCGCCGUCGACCUCGCCCUCGCCAAGGUCGAGGAGCGCUGCGACGCAGCUCUCCUCGCGCUCUCCUCCCCCGCUUCCCCCGUCGACAACAACAACGACACCAACGAUCUCCCCGGCAAGCUCAGAUCUUUCUGCACCAGGAUGGACUCCGAC